UAGUUUGAUUUAUGUAGUUUGUAAUGCUAUGUGUGGAAUGACAUCUUUAUAUUUUUAGAGAGCCAUAACAAAAGAAUGGCAGCAACAGAAAAGAUAGCUGGCAUGGAUGUGCUUUGCAGUGACAAAACUGGAACUUUGACAUUAAACAAGCUCACCGUUGACAAAAACCUUAUUGAGGUAUUUGCAAAAGGAGUAGAUAACAAAAGAAUGGUAGCAACAGAAAAGAUGGCUAGCAUGGAUGUGCUUUGCAGUGAUUAUUUUGAUGUUAAACAAGCUCACUGUUGACAAAAACCAUAUUGAGGUAUUUGCAAAAGGAGUAGAUGCAGAUACUGCUGUUCUUAUGGCAGCUCUAGCGUCAAGAACAGAAAGCCAGGAUGCAAUAGAGUACAGUCAUAGUUGGGAUGCUGGCUGACCCGAAGGAGGCACGUGCUCGCAUUCAGGAAAUACACUCUCUUCCUUUCAAUCCAACUGAUAAGUGUAAUGCUUUGACUUAUCUUGAUAGAGAUGGUAAAAUGCAUUGAGUUAGCAAAGUUGGUCUAGAGCAGGUGGUAGAUUCUAAAUCUUACUCACAAUAAAUCGGAUAUAGACCGUCGUAGACCGGGGUUUGCGGUCACUUGCUGUAGCAUACUAGGAAGUUCCAGAGGGUAGAAAAGAAAGUGCUGGAGGCCCUUGGCAGUUUAUAGGAGAACUGCUACUUCCUUGACAAUUGAAGCAGAGGAAUUCUAAUAGAGGCUCCUCAAGUUUGCCAUGUCAGCAUCCAAGAACUUCCUUCACAAUGAUGGAUAUUUGCUAGAGAUAAUAACCAGAAUGAGCAUUGAGUAAAUUGCUAGAAUUAGAUUUUAUUUCACCAUGUUCAACUAGGAAGUUUGUAAUAAAGUUCACAAUAUUAAGUCUCAUGACAACACGUCACUGUUGCCAAUUCUGAUACACUUCUGACUUCACCAUAGAUAUCAACAUUCCUCAAUAGUAAUUAACAAAUUUUGUUGCAA
This is a long non-coding RNA of Daucus carota subsp. sativus, 989 nucleotides long. RefSeq lists it as uncharacterized. The transcript is spliced from 7 exons. Lineage: Eukaryota; Viridiplantae; Streptophyta; Magnoliopsida; Apiales; Apiaceae. The record is from RefSeq and is a predicted model, not a curated record.